Molecule: ribosomal RNA, 324 nt
Filed under: Triticum aestivum (bread wheat)
Lineage: Eukaryota; Viridiplantae; Streptophyta; Magnoliopsida; Poales; Poaceae
Description: partial small subunit ribosomal RNA
Source: RNAcentral
AAGAAGACCUUUUGUCUCCAGGCUGACAUCCAGAAGAGGAUGUAUGAGGCACAUGUCAAUGAGAAGCUUGCACGAUGUCGCCAAAUUGCAAUGAUGAUGAAGCACCUCAACAUGCCGGUUCAGAGUGGCUCUGAGAAGAGCAUCACCCAAGAGGAGCGUUGGAUAUCUACCCAUAGCACCUGGACUGAUGAUGAAGCCCCUCCCCAGCCAUCCUCCUCGUUUGCAGCAGCUGACAAUGCCAUGGAAGAAUCUGAUCACGACAAUGAUGACGACUCUGAUGAUGAGGAUCCAGAUGCGACCGAGGAGUCAGAGGAGGACGCCUGA